GCUGCAUUGCACAUAUCAAACGCUGGAAGCAAACAUGUCUGCGAUCAAGGUUCAGUUCCUGCUUCUGUUGGUGGUGGCAGCCUUGUUGAUGCUGUUGAAUUCAACAGAAGCAGCACCUCGAGCAAGCCCGAUCUUCUUCGGCAGGUCCAGCAAUCAAGGACGAGACUCUCGUGAGAACAUCUUCGAGACCAUCGGCGAUUUUCUGUUCCGGGGGUAAUCGACGAGCGGGAUUGUGCAAGUCAUCCUGUGUAGCGACCGGCCGGCCUGUCAAGGAGAAGUGAUAUUUCUGAUAUUGCUGUUGGUGCUGAAAUUUUGGAUUGGACCAAGAGAUAAAUUACCUCAAAUUCUUUCGAAGGUGAUCAUCGUGAUUAGUUUUUUACAAAAUUACUUAUUGCACAAAGGUGUAUCGGUGCAAUUACAAUGUAUGACGGGAAUUAUAUUACAAAUUUCCCAAAGAAAAUUCGUUGGUCAAUUUUUUUCUAUGUUUUUGCAUUAUGUGGCACGUGACUCUUCUGUUAGUGGCGCAGCAACUGCCAAUGAAAAAUGAUGUAUAUCCGAUUGUUCACUCCUUUUCUCAUUAGAUGAGACCAUUAAUUUCUAUCAGACAUAAUUAUCUUUAUACGAUUAAAAUUCACCUAAACGACGUGAGGAAAGGUAAUGGAAAAGGGGAAACAGAGUAACAAGAGCCAAACUAUUAAAAAAUUAAAAAUAAAAGUAUCGCUGUGAUUGUAAGUUCUCAGAAUUUUUUUCGUAUAUCGUGAUUUAUAAUUACCUGUUCUUCACGUUGUUAAAACAAACAUAAACAAUUGGAAUUGAUAUAAAAUGAUAACCAAACAAA
Molecule: long non-coding RNA, 838 nt
Organism: Hyalella azteca
Lineage: Eukaryota; Metazoa; Arthropoda; Malacostraca; Amphipoda; Hyalellidae
Exons: 2
Source: RefSeq, a predicted model, not a curated record